Molecule: long non-coding RNA, 1636 nt
Organism: Neofelis nebulosa (Clouded leopard)
Lineage: Eukaryota; Metazoa; Chordata; Mammalia; Carnivora; Felidae
Exons: 2
Source: RefSeq, a predicted model, not a curated record
UUGAAGUAUCAUAAACAGUGGUGUGUUAGUUUCAGGGAUACAGUGUAAUGAUUCAAAAAUUCUAUGCAUUACUGUGGUCACUAUGAUGAGUGUAGUCACGAUCUGUCACCAGACAAUAUUACCGUAAUCGUAUUGGCCGUAUUCUCAACGCUGUACUUUUCACCUCCCUGAUGUAAUCUUAUACCUGGAAAUUUGUACCCCUUUAUCUAUUUCACUUAUUCUCCUGCCCACCUCCCCCUGGCAACCACAAGUUUGUUCUUUGCAACUUGGUGUAUUUAAAAGUUUGCUUUUUUGUUGUUUCUUUGUUUUGUUUUGAGAUUCCACAUAUAAGUGAAAGCAUAUGGUAUUUGUCUUUGAAUUAUGUCCUCUAGGUCCAUCCACGUUGUCACGAAUGGCGAGGUCUCAUUUUUUUCUGGCUGAGUAAUAGUCCUUUGUAUGUACAUAGUACAUCUUCUUUAUUUGUUCAUCUGUUGAUGGACGCCUGGGUUGCUUCCAUAUAUGGGCUACUCUGAAUAAUGCUGCCAUAAACAUAGGCGCGGAUAUACCUUUUCAGAUUAGCUUCCAGAAGCACACCUGACUGACAGAUUGCUGUUGGAGCUUCCGGAACAGGCUGAACUAGAACCUCCUGUUCACAACAGUGUGGUUUUGUCCCCCUUUGCUUUUUCUCAGAGACUGACCUCCCGAGUUCGGAUCCGUCUCUGGGCUUACACAGCCUUGUAGUCAGUGCCUUCAAAUUACUGGCUGAUUUGUAUUUUCUUUUGUCUUUUUCCUAUCUGGCUCCAUCCAGCACCAUUCCAGCUCUAGUAAUGAACAGUCUUGCGUUCCGCUUCCUGAGUAUCUGUCCUGAGGAAAAGCCACUGUAAGGCGGUUUUUUAGCUAAUUUAGUCAUGUUUAUCAUACACUGUUAGAUGUAUAGAAGGUGGGGUUGAGUUUUGUACAGACAGUGCAGCUAAAUCAUUCCUUCAACAACUGUUUGACUACCGUGUGCCAGAGAAGCUUCCGAAUUCCAAAUGCCACAGUGUGUGUUUUGGGUGGGGUUUUUUUUGGGGGGGGUCUCCCCAAAAUUCAUGUGAAAGCUUUACUGAAGUAAACCCUCAGCGUGGGUGUAUUUGGAGUAAGGAAGUCAAUCGGGUUAAAUGAGGUCACAGGGAUGGGGCCCUGAUGCAGUGGGAUUAGUGUCCUCACCGGAAGGGAGCUCACCCCCCUCGCCCUUCUGCGCAGGGACACGAUGAGAAGGCGACGUCCACAAACCAAGAAGAGAGCUCUUACCAGAAACUGAAUCAGCUGGCCCCUCGACCUUGGACUUCUCAACCUCCAGAACUGAGGAAAUAAAUCUCUGUUGUUCAAGCGCCCAGUGGUGUUUUGUUUUGGCAGAUUGGCAUAACAAGACCCCUCCCCCCCGCCAAACACCCUUUGCAGUUCAAGUGUUUUAUUGAAGCAGUUAGGUUAGCUGCUCAGGGACAGCCUUGGCCUUGGAGGUGAUGCCACAGGUCUUAGAUUCAGAAAUUCAAUUUUCAAGUAUGUCAAUUCAGUUUUAACAAUAUAGCCAAGGACUAGUAAGAAUAGGAAAAAGCAGUCUGUUCCAAGCAACUCAAAGGUUGUUUAUAAGCGAGAAAUGCAAUAAGUUCAUUGACAA